This 254-nucleotide ribosomal RNA is filed under the name uncultured bacterium. RNAcentral's name for it is "partial 16S ribosomal RNA". It matches the Rfam family "Bacterial small subunit ribosomal RNA", at positions 524 to 776 of the family's 1533-position model. The record is from RNAcentral.
UACGGGGGGAGCAAGCGUUGUUCGGAUUUACUGGGCGUAAAGGGCGCGUAGGCGGCCACUGCACGUCAAUUGUGAAAUCUCCGGGCUUAACUCGGAAAGGUCAACUGAUACUGCAGGGCUAGAGUGCGGAAGGGGCAACUGGAAUUCUCGGUGUAGCGGUGAAAUGCGUAGAUAUCGAGAGGAACACCUGCGGCGAAGGCGGGUUGCUGGGCCGACACUGACGCUGAAGUGCGAAAGCUAGGGGAGCGAACGGG